Long non-coding RNA from Homo sapiens (human), 2205 nucleotides. Ensembl annotates it as long intergenic non-protein coding RNA, p53 induced transcript. Its record names the gene LINC-PINT. The record is from Ensembl. Lineage: Eukaryota; Metazoa; Chordata; Mammalia; Primates; Hominidae.
AAAGCAUUAGGGGAGCCCACGGCUACAAAAACAAGUGAGUGAGAAGAGGUGGGAGGAAGAGAAACUACGCCACCUCCCCUGCAGCCGAGUGCACGCAGCAGCCUGGCGUGACAAGUGGGCGACGCCGGGGGGCAGGGAGCCGGGGUCCUUGGCCCUGGCCGGGGACCCCACCGCCCACCGCGCGGAGGACAACUUUUAGCCGGCAGCCCAGACCAGCGCGGCACCUGUCUCCGGAGUCUCCACCGCUCCUCCCGAUUCAUCCCAGGGAAAUUCUCAAGAAUACGCUCUACAAAUCUACGUGCGCAUCAUUUUCACCUCGCGUCGCGCCCGGGAGGAAGGAACGAGGCAAGGAGCUAAAGCAGCGUGCGUUCAGCCCUGGGGAGAAAAAUCAAGACGUUCCCUUCAGUCCUCCCUCGGUGUUAACGUCUGCUCCAGCUCGCAGCCCGCUGCUGGGCAUUUUAUUAAUGCUUUUACGAGUUAGAAGAGUUGGGAUAAUUUGCCAUCUGGAGUUUCUCUGCCUUGCUGAUCUGAGCUCAGACCUGCCAAUUUACCAGAGAUAAUUGAUAACACCCUGUAACAGCUGAGAGGAAAAUGGAAGAAACGGAGAUACUUUUAGUGAAGCAGAAUAAACCACUGAACAGCGUUGGCUGAAAAACAUAAGGGAAAAAUGAGGAAGCUGUGAGUACCAGUGGAAGGAACGAGCCAGGAAGAGGGACUGGAACCAUCUCAGAAGCCAUGCCCCUCAGGCUGGAACUUGCCCUGUCUCCUCGCAGAUGAGGUAGGAGGCUCAGCACGGGCUGGUGGGAGCAGCCCACAGCAGCAGUGAGGGUCAGUGGGCCUGUGAGUUAAGAAGAAGGUGGCACAGAGCGAGGGUCUCUGGAUCCUGACUGUUUGACUUUUCCAUGAUUAGGAUAAGUAGCCAGGGCUUGGCUAGUUGGAGAGUUACUCGAACCUCAGGUGACAGUUGUAAGGCAGCACAUAGUGAAAAAGAGUCCUAGCCUGGGAAAGUCCAAAACCUUAGGUCUGGUUUCAGUUCACUCACCUAUCUCUGUGACAUAGCAAAGUCUGUUAAUUUCUCUAAUUUUCUGAUUAGUAGUAUAGUUGCAGGAAUGAAAUAAAAAUGGUCCUGAUUACUCAGAGAUUCAUUUACUGAUUACUCUUUUUGUGACCUGAAUAAAGAGUACAACAUCUCUCAAAAGGUAACAAUAUGAUGUUUCAGGAAAUUAGAGAAGUUAAGAGACUUUGCUGUAUUUACUAUACAGAUAGUUGACUGACAGCUGAGCCCGGACCCAAGAUUCAUUUAUAAAAUGAAGGAGUUGAGAAGUACAUACUCUGAGGUUUAUCCUAAAUAAACUGAAGUCUAGGCAAGUGGCUGAGCUAGGUUUGCCAUGAAUCAAUCUGCUGAGUAUAUUUCUUGGUAACUAGUUCAUCUUUCCUUAAUUCAGUCAACAAAUAUGAUAUCAAGUUUAGUAAGAUGAUGACAGUUGUCAUGUAAUACUCCAUCUGGAAGAUUGUAUGCUUCUCAGCUUCCCUAACUUUUCUUAAUCUACCUUAAGCUUCCUUUCUGAAAGGUUUCUGUCUUUCCUAACAGUCUCUUCUUUCCGCCAGCUACCUCUUGUGUUUAAGAAUUAAAGGAAGAUGAGCUAGGAAUCAAGAAAUACGCAGAACUGAUUCCUGUCACUGGCGCCACCCUGCCACUUGCCCAGAGCUGUGGUAUAAAUUUUUUUAAUAGGCUGAAAUAAAAAUAUGAAUAGCAUUUUGGUAUUAAGCAUUAAAUUGAUAAAGGCUAUGAGAUACACCUGCUCUCAACCAUGUUAAUUUUUUAUUAUUGGUAUUAAUAAAUUAUUACUUACUAACAUAUUAACAAGAAUUGCAUUGAGAAACAAAGCAUCCACAGGCCAAAUCUUCUGAAUUUCAAAUGUUUAUAUUAAUGCGUUGUAUUCUAGAAAAGUAGAAUUGUCUUAAGUAGCUUUGUAAUAUAAAGUCAUCUAUCAGCCCAUUACACCUAUUAGAAUGUUUUAACCUUUAUUUCCCACUUUUUUGUUUCUAGACUGAGUGUACUUGGUCUGGUAUUUGUGGCAUAACUUACGGAACACAUAAGAAUGAUACAGAUACUAUUUAAUGAUGACCUAAUACAAGCUUAGAUAGCUAAGGUGAAAGCUUCUAUGGCCUUAACAUUUUCCUCUUGAAGAAUGUAUUUUCUGU